This 104-nucleotide microRNA precursor is filed under the name Marmota monax (woodchuck). Lineage: Eukaryota; Metazoa; Chordata; Mammalia; Rodentia; Sciuridae. The record is from RNAcentral.
AGAACAGUUGCUGGAUUAUAUGGUAAAGAUUUUGUUUAAUUUUGUGAGAAACUUCCAAACUGUAUUCCAAAGUAUCUAUACUAUUUUGUAUUCCCACCAACAAU